GUGAUAUUAGAGGGUGGGAUAAUGGUGAUUUUAAAUGGUUUGGUCCAGAUCUGUCUACACUUGUAAGAUAUCCAGACCCAUACUACCCUCUGGAGGUAAUCACAUCACAGACGACCCUCUGGAGGUAAUCACAUCACAGACGACCCUCUGGAGGUAAUCACUUCACAGAUGACCCUCUGGAGGUAAUCACAGACGAACCUCUGGAGGUAAUCACAGACGACCCUCUGG
Molecule: long non-coding RNA, 228 nt
Organism: Oncorhynchus keta (chum salmon)
Lineage: Eukaryota; Metazoa; Chordata; Actinopteri; Salmoniformes; Salmonidae
Exons: 3
Source: RefSeq, a predicted model, not a curated record